GGCGGACGGGUGAGUAACGCGUGGGUAACCUGCCUUAUACAGGGGGAUAACAGUUAGAAAUGACUGCUAAUACCGCAUAAGCGCACAGGAUUGCAUGAUCCGGUGUGAAAAACUCCGGUGGUAUAAGAUGGACCCGCGUCUGAUUAGCUUGUUGGUGAGGUAACGGCCCACCAAGGCGACGAUCAGUAGCCGACCUGAGAGGGUGACCGGCCACAUUGGGACUGAGACACGGCCCAAACUCCUACGGGAGGCAGCAUG
RNAcentral lists this ribosomal RNA (258 nucleotides) under uncultured bacterium. RNAcentral's name for it is "partial 16S ribosomal RNA". It matches the Rfam family "Bacterial small subunit ribosomal RNA", at positions 97 to 353 of the family's 1533-position model. The record is from RNAcentral.